RNAcentral lists this ribosomal RNA (497 nucleotides) under uncultured bacterium. RNAcentral describes it as "partial 16S ribosomal RNA". It matches the Rfam family "Bacterial small subunit ribosomal RNA", at positions 28 to 507 of the family's 1533-position model. The record is from RNAcentral.
GAUGAACGCUGGCGGCGUGCCUAAUACAUGCAAGUCGAGCGAACAGACGAGGAGCUUGCUCCUCUGACGUUAGCGGCGGACGGGUGAGUAACACGUGUAUAACCUACCUAUAAUACUGGGAUAACUUCGGGAAACCGGAUCUAAUACCGGAUAAUAUAUUGAACCGCAUGGUUCAAUAGUGAAAGACGGUUUUGCUGUCACUUAUAGAUGGAUCCGCGCCGCAUUAGCUAGUUGGUAAGGUAACGGCUUACCAAGGCGACGAUGCGUAGCCGAAGUGAGAGGGUGAUCGGCCACACUGGAACUGGGACACGGUCCAGGCUCCUACGGGAGGCAGCAGUAGGGAAUCUGCCGCAAUAGGCGAAAGCCUGACGGAGCGACGCCGCGUGAGUGAUGAAGGUCUUCGGAUCGUAAAGCUCUGUUAUUAGUGAAGAACAAAUGUGUAAGUAACUAUGCACGUCUAGACGGUACCUAAUCAGAAAGCAACGGCUAACUACGUG